This 206-nucleotide unclassified non-coding RNA is filed under the name uncultured Trechispora. RNAcentral describes it as "sequence contains ITS2". Lineage: Eukaryota; Fungi; Basidiomycota; Agaricomycetes; Polyporales; Polyporaceae. The record is from RNAcentral.
AGUCAUCAACCCCUGCCGUUUUGUGCGGUAGCGGGUUGGAUCUGGGGGCCCUGCUGCCGAGAGGCGGCUCCCCUCAAAUGGAUCGGUUGGGCCUGUGGGUCGGACUCGAUUGGGCGUUGUAUUAUCCUCGCUCUAACGAGAUGUUCCCCUUCUUGUGCCCCUCCACGACCUUGCCUUUUGAGUGGCGGUCAAACCAAACUUUGAAA